This 115-nucleotide ribosomal RNA is filed under the name uncultured bacterium. RNAcentral describes it as "partial 16S ribosomal RNA". It matches the Rfam family "Bacterial small subunit ribosomal RNA", at positions 1360 to 1482 of the family's 1533-position model. The record is from RNAcentral.
CGGUGAAUACGUUCCCGGACCUUGCACACACCGCCCGUCAAGCCAUGGAAGUCAGGGAGACCUGAAGACGGUAACCGAAUAGGAGCCGUUUAGGGUAAAACUGGUAACUGGGGCU